GGUAAGAUGGCUGAGUGCUCAAGCGGUGGAUUGUAGCCCCACAUACAGAGGUUCAAUCCCUCUUUUUACCA
RNAcentral lists this transfer RNA (71 nucleotides) under Parioglossus formosus (beautiful hover goby). Its description in RNAcentral is "tRNA-Tyr". It matches the Rfam family "tRNA". From Rfam's summary of the family: Transfer RNA (tRNA) molecules are approximately 80 nucleotides in length. Their secondary structure includes four short double-helical elements and three loops (D, anti-codon, and T loops). Further hydrogen bonds mediate the characteristic L-shaped molecular structure. tRNAs have two regions of fundamental functional importance: the anti-codon, which is responsible for specific mRNA codon recognition, and the 3' end, to which the tRNAs corresponding amino acid is attached (by aminoacyl-tRNA synthetases). tRNAs cope with the degeneracy of the genetic code in two manners: having more than one tRNA (with a specific anti-codon) for a particular amino acid; and 'wobble' base-pairing, i.e. permitting non-standard base-pairing at the 3rd anti-codon position. Lineage: Eukaryota; Metazoa; Chordata; Actinopteri; Gobiiformes; Gobiidae. The record is from RNAcentral.